GAUUAAGUUAUUAAGGGCGCACGGUGGAUGCCUUGGCACUAGAAGCCGAUGAAGGACGUUACUAACGACGAUAUGCUUUGGGGAGCUGUAAGUAAGCUUUGAUCCAGAGAUUUCCGAAUGGGGAAACCCAGCAUGAGUUAUGUCAUGUUAUCGAUAUGUGAAUACAUAGCAUAUCAGAAGGCACACCCGGAGAACUGAAACAUCUUAGUACCCGGAGGAAGAGAAAGAAAAUUCGAUUCCCUUAGUAGCGGCGAGCGAAACGGGAAGAGCCCAAACCAACAAGCUUGCUUGUUGGGGUUGUAGGACACUCUAUACGGAGUUACAAAGGACGACAUUAGACGAAUCAUCUGGAAAGAUGAAUCAAAGAAGGUAAUAAUCCUGUAGUCGAAAAUGUUGUCUCUCUUGAGUGGAUCCUGAGUACGACGGAGCACGUGAAAUUCCGUCGGAAUCUGGGAGGACCAUCUCCUAAGGCUAAAUACUCUCUAGUGACCGAUAGUGAACCAGUACCGUGAGGGAAAGGUGAAAAGCACCCCGGAAGGGGAGUGAAAUAGAACCUGAAACCGUGUGCUUACAAGUAGUCAGAGCCCGUUAAUGGGUGAUGGCGUGCCUUUUGUAGAAUGAACCGGCGAGUUACGAUUUGAUGCAAGGUUAAGCAGUAAAUGUGGAGCCGUAGCGAAAGCGAGUCUGAAUAGGGCGUUUAGUAUUUGGUCGUAGACCCGAAACCAGGUGAUCUACCCUUGGUCAGGUUGAAGUUCAGGUAACACUGAAUGGAGGACCGAACCGACUUACGUUGAAAAGUGAGCGGAUGAACUGAGGGUAGCGGAGAAAUUCCAAUCGAACCUGGAGAUAGCUGGUUCUCUCCGAAAUAGCUUUAGGGCUAGCCUCAAGUGAUGAUUAUUGGAGGUAGAGCACUGUUUGGACGAGGGGCCCCUCUCGGGUUACCGAAUUCAGACAAACUCCGAAUGCCAAUUAAUUUAACUUGGGAGUCAGAACAUGGGUGAUAAGGUCCGUGUUCGAAAGGGAAACAGCCCAGACCACCAGCUAAGGUCCCAAAAUAUAUGUUAAGUGGAAAAGGAUGUGGCGUUGCCCAGACAACUAGGAUGUUGGCUUAGAAGCAGCCAUCAUUUAAAGAGUGCGUAAUAGCUCACUAGUCGAGUGACACUGCGCCGAAAAUGUACCGGGGCUAAACAUAUUACCGAAGCUGUGGAUUGUCCUUUGGACAAUGGUAGGAGAGCGUUCUAAGGGCGUUGAAGCAUGAUCGUAAGGACAUGUGGAGCGCUUAGAAGUGAGAAUGCCGGUGUGAGUAGCGAAAGACGGGUGAGAAUCCCGUCCACCGAUUGACUAAGGUUUCCAGAGGAAGGCUCGUCCGCUCUGGGUUAGUCGGGUCCUAAGCUGAGGCCGACAGGCGUAGGCGAUGGAUAACAGGUUGAUAUUCCUGUACCACCUAUAAUCGUUUUAAUCGAUGGGGGGACGCAGUAGGAUAGGCGAAGCGUGCGAUUGGAUUGCACGUCUAAGCAGUAAGGCUGAGUAUUAGGCAAAUCCGGUACUCGUUAAGG
Molecule: ribosomal RNA, 1556 nt
Filed under: Staphylococcus aureus
Lineage: Bacteria; Bacillati; Bacillota; Bacilli; Caryophanales; Staphylococcaceae
Description: partial 23S ribosomal RNA
Rfam family: Bacterial large subunit ribosomal RNA
Source: RNAcentral